RNAcentral lists this ribosomal RNA (670 nucleotides) under Rahnella sp. 87_b. Its description in RNAcentral is "bacterial SSU rRNA". It matches the Rfam family "Bacterial small subunit ribosomal RNA", at positions 57 to 717 of the family's 1533-position model. The record is from RNAcentral. Lineage: Bacteria; Pseudomonadati; Pseudomonadota; Gammaproteobacteria; Enterobacterales; Yersiniaceae.
GCAGUCGAGCGGCAGCGGGAAGUAGCUUGCUACUUUGCCGGCGAGCGGCGGACGGGUGAGUAAUGUCUGGGAAACUGCCUGAUGGAGGGGGAUAACUACUGGAAACGGUAGCUAAUACCGCAUGACCUCGUAAGAGCAAAGUGGGGGACCUUCGGGCCUCACGCCAUCGGAUGUGCCCAGAUGGGAUUAGCUAGUAGGUGAGGUAAUGGCUCACCUAGGCGACGAUCCCUAGCUGGUCUGAGAGGAUGACCAGCCACACUGGAACUGAGACACGGUCCAGACUCCUACGGGAGGCAGCAGUGGGGAAUAUUGCACAAUGGGCGCAAGCCUGAUGCAGCCAUGCCGCGUGUGUGAAGAAGGCCUUAGGGUUGUAAAGCACUUUCAGCGAGGAGGAAGGGUUCAGUGUUAAUAGCACUGUGCAUUGACGUUACUCGCAGAAGAAGCACCGGCUAACUCCGUGCCAGCAGCCGCGGUAAUACGGAGGGUGCAAGCGUUAAUCGGAAUUACUGGGCGUAAAGCGCACGCAGGCGGUUUGUUAAGUCAGAUGUGAAAUCCCCGAGCUUAACUUGGGAACUGCAUUUGAAACUGGCAAGCUAGAGUCUUGUAGAGGGGGGUAGAAUUCCAGGUGUAGCGGUGAAAUGCGUANAGAUCUGGAGGAAUACCGGUGGCG